GUAAUAGUAGUAAUAGUGGUGGUAGUAGUAGUAAUAGUAGUAGUUAUAAUAUUAGACGUAGUAGUGGUAGAAGUAGUAAUAGUAAGUAGUAGUAGUGCAGUAGUAGUAGUAGAGGUAUGUAGUAAUAUUAGUAGUAGCUGUGGUAGUAGUAGUAGCAGCAGCAGUAGUAAUAGUAGUGGUAGUAGCAGUAGUAAUAGUAGUGGUAGUCGUAGUAGUGGUAGUAGUAGCAGUAGUAAUAGUUGUAGUAGUAGCAGUAGUAAUAGUAGUGGUAGUAGCAGUAGUAGUGGUAGUAGCGGUAGCAGUAGUAAUAGUAGUGGUAGUAGUAGCAGUAGUAGUGGUAGUAGUAGCAGUAGUAGUGGUAGUAGUAGUAGGAGUAGUAGGAGUAGAAGUGGUGGUAGUAGUAGUAGUGGUAGUAGCGGUAGCAGUAGUAAUAGUAGUGGUAGUAGUAGUAGGAGUAGUAGGAGUAGUGGUGGUAGUAGUGUAGUAGUAGUAGUAGUAAUAGUAGUGGUAGUAGUAGUGUAGUAGCGGUAGUAGUAGUAAUAGUAGUGGUAGUAGUAGUGUAGUAGCGGUAGUAGUAGUAUAGUAGUGGUAGUAGUAGUGUAGUAGCGGUAGUAGUAGUAAUAGUAGUGGUAGUAGUAGUGUAGUAGCGGUAGUAGUAGUGUAGUAGCGGUAGUAGUAGUAAUAGUAGUGGUAGUAGUAGUGUAGUAGUGGUAGUAGUAGUAAUAGUAGUGGUAGUAGUAGUGUAGUAGCGGUAGUAGUAGUAUAGUAAGUGGUAGUAGUAGUGUA
Long non-coding RNA from Ictalurus punctatus (channel catfish), 786 nucleotides. Lineage: Eukaryota; Metazoa; Chordata; Actinopteri; Siluriformes; Ictaluridae. The record is from Ensembl.